This is a long non-coding RNA of Oxyura jamaicensis (ruddy duck), 2270 nucleotides long. RefSeq lists it as uncharacterized. The transcript has 3 exons. The record is from RefSeq and is a predicted model, not a curated record. NCBI's taxonomy places the organism in Eukaryota, Metazoa, Chordata, Aves, Anseriformes, Anatidae.
CCUCAGGCCCUGUAGGGUGUUUUGGGGCUCUGUUCCUGCCUCUUCCCCAGAACAAAUGAGUCCAAGUGUUGUUGCUGUGUUGCCUCAUCUUACCGGAGAAGCUGUUAGCAAGCCAUGGGGGGGCAGAAGCUGUCCAGGGCUUAUUUUCUAAUAUAUGGGAAUGGCCUCAUGGUUAAAAUUCAUGUAUGUUAAUUAGGUGUAGCUUUGUCUUGCAUCCUUAUCAGCCAUGCUUAUGUGGCGAGCAGCAGAGAGUAAGGAGCCUAUUACUAAUUCAGACCGUCCUUUAUAUUUUGCUGCUAGGCAGCAAGAAGUUAUGCACUGCCAGAGCCCACUCAGGUUACAUUAAUGUUGCUGGAAUAAAUGUGUAAUUGCUAUUUGCUUCGUAGCUAUUGUGGAGGCUGCAGACUGAAGCAACGGGGAGAGGGAGUUUCUGGCCGUUAAGAGAACAAAGCAGCAGACUUCCCCCUGCAAUACGGUGCAGCACGCUUAGAUCUAAAAUGUUUGUGCAGUGCCUCUUUCUCCUCGCCGUACCGGGCGUUUUGCACAUAAGGAGGUACAUCAGGAGGAGCAUUGCUGCGUACGGGCUGGAGGCAUCCCAGCCCCAUACUGUGCCUCUUUGCCAGACCAGCUGCUGCUGCUGCCCUGCGAAUGGAGACGGGCAGGGAUGUGACUGUGCCUUGAGAUGUCUUUUAUUUCUUUGUCUGCACCACCUCUGUUCUGCACCAGACAGGCUUUUCUGUGGGUGCCUCGUAUUCAGAAUUCUGCAAAGUUGCCCAGAUUUCAGUACCUGACCUACUAAUACUGCUGAUGAGCAGCAAUGACUGCACGCCGGGCUUUUUGCUGAACUAGUUUACUCUUAAAAACCCUCCCUCUGCAGUAGGACCCAUACACAAAGGAUUAUUUCCUUGCAGAUCUGAAGCCAUUCAUAAGAGAGCAGCUUAUUCACGGAUGCAAUUAGAACACUUGUCUGACUCAUUACUAGGGCUGAUGGUAAAUCAAAGAAAUAUUCAGUGUGUUCCUGUAAUUAUUCUUGGUGAUUUGUUGGAUUGUUUUCCUCUUGGAUCUAGUCUCGGUUUUCUUUUGCUGAUAUUCUGCAUAAAAAAUCUUGCAUAAUCACAAGGACCCAGCUUGGUGGAGAAUGCCCACGGAUUCACUCACCUGGCUCACUGGACAGGUGAUGGGAGCUGAGGCCAAGCAGCGAAGGUCAGGGCUUUGUGUGUGCUCUCCCCUUGUCGUACUGGGUAUCUGCUUCCUUUUCUUGGGAAUCCAGCUCUGGUCCUGAGACUGCAAACGGGCUCUUCAAGCUCUCCAGGGUUUGUGCAGCAAUUUUUUCGUGUGAGUUGCCCAACGCGCCUUGCUUAGCUUAAGAUGUGUGGCAAGCAUUUGGCUUGAAGUGGGAUCUGGUGAAGAAGAUGAGUCAUUGGUUCGGGGCCUAGGUAAUAGCUUGUCUGAACAGGCAGGAAGAACAGACACCUUCCAAGAAAAGACGUGAGAAGGGCUUUUCUGAGGACAUUUCAGGUGCAGCCACAGUAGAGACCGGGCUCUGUUGUGCUGGGGUGGUGGAGGCAGCAGGAAACUGCUCUGCAGUGCAGAGGUGAGCUCAUAAGACACCGUGCAGACGUUUUAUUUAUCUUCUAUAUACCUACACAUCAGGCCUUUGCUCUGCAGAGUCAUUCGCUUGUGAAGCACAGCAGUAAGCUUUCCAAAGGUCAGGAAAUGUUGAUUUCUGCGGUGGCAGCCUGACUGUAACCUGUAAAAGCUGACGGAGCAAAGGCAAGCUGUUUUCUCACUCGUGCAGAUUGUUUCAUGUGUCUGAUCCUGGGGCUGCUGCAAGGGAGCAGCCAAUGCUCAGGACAGCCUGAUGGACACAGCCCCUCUCCCAGAUUGAUGGUCUGGGUUUAGGAGUGACUUCAGGGAUGCAGAGAGGUGGUUGGUGCUGGCAGUCCUUCUAGGCACAUAUGUGAACACAUCUCUUCAGCCAGUGGUGGGUAGCAGUAAGUUUGCUUUGCCUUUUGCUCAAGGCACAGUGACAGUCCUUCGGCCUCAGCUGAUCCGAGACCAAGAUCUGACACGAGCAGCUUCAGCCUUGAACCAGAGCAUUACCAGCAGGUCACGGAGCAGAAGAGGGUGGAACAGCUGCUUUUUAGUUGUACACACUUUUCAGAGCCCGAACUCACCCUUGUCUCUGUAGGUUCCUCUCUAUUUAAAAGGACGUGCUAUUCAGGAUGUGCCUACCAGCAGCUUACAAGCCUCAGCUUAGACCUGAAAAG